Molecule: ribosomal RNA, 261 nt
Filed under: uncultured bacterium
Lineage: Bacteria
Description: partial 16S ribosomal RNA
Rfam family: Bacterial small subunit ribosomal RNA
Source: RNAcentral
GUCCACGCCCUAAACGAUGUCUACUAGUUGUCGGGUUUAAUUAACUUGGUAACGCAGCUAACGCGUGAAGUAGACCGCCUGGGGAGUACGGUCGCAAGAUUAAAACUCAAAGGAAUUGACGGGACCCGCACAAGCGGUGGAUGAUGUGGAUUAAUUCGAUGCAACGCGAAAACCUUACCUACCCUUGACAUGGCUGGAAUCCCGGAGAGAUUUGGGAGUGCUCGAAAGAGAACCAGUACACAGGUGCUGCAUGGCUGUCGU